Molecule: ribosomal RNA, 167 nt
Filed under: uncultured Bacillota bacterium
Lineage: Bacteria; Bacillati; Bacillota
Description: uncultured Firmicutes bacterium partial 16S ribosomal RNA
Source: RNAcentral
AGGAAAAUGGGCGCAGCUGAUGCAGCCACGCCGCGUGAGUGAUGACGUCUAUGGGUUGUAAGCUUCUUUUUGUAGGGACGAAGCUUUUUUGACUUGUCCUGUAUUGAAAGUACCGUUUCACUACGGAACGGCUAACUCUAUGCUAGCAGCCGCGGUAAUAAAAAAAA